UGAAUACGAGACGCUAAGGCGUCGAAGUAGUGUAUGUCAUACUUCCAAGAAAAGCUUGCACUGUCAUAAAUAAAAAUGCCUGUACCAUAACCGACACAGGUGGGUAAGUAGAGUAUACUAAGGGGCGCGAGAUAACUCUCUCUAAGGAACUCGGCAAAAUAACUCCGUAACUUCGGGAGAAGGAGUGCCUUAUUCUUAAGGUUGCAAUAACAAGAUCCAAGCAACUGUUUAUCAAAAACACAGGUCUCCGCUAAGUCGUAAGACGAUGUAUGGGGGCUGACGCCUGCCCAGUGCCAGAAGGUUAAAGAGGUCGGUUAGCAAUAGCGAAGCUGGUAACUGAAGCCCUGGUGAACGGCGGCCGUAACAAUAACGGUCCUAAGGUAGCGAAAUUCCUUGUCGGGUAAGUUCCGACCCGCACGAAAGGCGUAAUGAUUUGGAUGCUGUCUCGGAGAGAGGCUCGGUGAAAUAGACUUGUCUGUGAAGAUGCGGACUACCUGCACCAGGACAGAAAGACCCUAUGAAGCUUUACUGUAACUUGAAAUUGAAAUUGGACUUUACUCGCGCAGUAUAGGUGGGAGGCGUUGAUUAUAAUCUCGUGGGAUUAUUGGAGCCAUCAGUGAGAUACCACUCUUGUAAUGUUAGAUUUCUAACUUUGAAUCAUUAUCUGGUCAAAGGACAGUUUCAGGCGGGCAGUUUGACUGGGGCGGUCGCCUCCUAAACGGUAACGGAGGCGUACAAAGGUUUCCUCUGAACGGUUAGAAAUCGUAUCUAGAGUGUAAAGGCAUAAGGAAGCUUGACUGUGAGACCUACAAGUCGAGCAGGGACGAAAGUCGGUCUUAGUGAUCUGACGGUACUGAGUGGAAAGGCCGUCACUCAACGGAUAAAAGUUACUCUAAGGAUAACAGGCUGAUCUCCCCCAAGAGUUCACAUCGACGGGGAGGUUUGGCACCUCGAUGUCGGCUCAUCGCAUCCUGGGGCGGUAGUACGUCCCAAGGGUUGGGCUGUUCGCCCAUGAAAGCGGUACGCGAGCUGGGUUCAGAACGUCGUGAGACAGUUCGGUCCAUAUCCGGUGUAGGCGCUAGAAUAUUGAGAGGAGCCUUCUUUAGUACGAGAGGACCGAGAAGGACAUACCUCUGGUGUACCAGUUAUCGUGCCAACGGUAAACGCUGGGUAGCUAUGUAUGGAGUGGAUAACCGCUGAAAGCAUCUAAGUGGGAAGCCCACCUCAAGAUAAGUAUUCUCUU
This 1243-nucleotide ribosomal RNA is filed under the name metagenome. RNAcentral describes it as "bacterial LSU rRNA". It matches the Rfam family "Bacterial large subunit ribosomal RNA", at positions 1564 to 2817 of the family's 2925-position model. The record is from RNAcentral.